Notothenia coriiceps (black rockcod) is the source of this 294-nucleotide long non-coding RNA. RefSeq lists it as uncharacterized. The transcript has 4 exons. The record is from RefSeq and is a predicted model, not a curated record. Lineage: Eukaryota; Metazoa; Chordata; Actinopteri; Perciformes; Nototheniidae.
GGGCUGCAGAAGUGGAAACCAUUAACUCUGGCUCCUGAACCACAGAGGAAGGUGGUGGUGCUGGAGAAGAAAGAGGAGGAGGCGUUUGGCUUUGAAAUCCAGACGUACGGGCUGCACCAUGAGGACCAGAACUCGGUGGAGAUGUGCACGUUUGUGUGCAAAGUGCACGAGGACAGCCCGGCGCAGGAGGCGGGACUUAAAGUCGGGGACACCAUCUCCAGUGUGAACGAGGAGACGGUGGAGGGAUUUCGGCACAAGGAGAUCGUGCAGCUCAUCAGAGCCUGCGGAAACACA